This 254-nucleotide ribosomal RNA is filed under the name uncultured bacterium. Its description in RNAcentral is "partial 16S ribosomal RNA". It matches the Rfam family "Bacterial small subunit ribosomal RNA", at positions 524 to 776 of the family's 1533-position model. The record is from RNAcentral.
UACGGGGGGAGCAAGCGUUGUUCGGAUUUACUGGGCGUAAAGGGCGCGUAGGCGGUCAGCACAAGUCAGUUGUGAAAUCUCCGGGCUUAACUCGGAAAGGUCAACUGAUACUGUGCGACUAGAGUGCGGAAGGGGCAACUGGAAUUCUCGGUGUAGCGGUGAAAUGCGUAGAUAUUGGGAAGAACACCUGAGGCGAAGGCGGGUUGCUGGGCUGAUACUGACGCUGAGGCGCGAAAGCCAGGGGAGCAAACGGG